CCAAAGCAACAUAUGUUUGUACUC
RNAcentral lists this non-coding RNA (24 nucleotides) under Arabidopsis thaliana (thale cress). The record is from RNAcentral. Lineage: Eukaryota; Viridiplantae; Streptophyta; Magnoliopsida; Brassicales; Brassicaceae.